RNAcentral lists this ribosomal RNA (434 nucleotides) under uncultured Clostridium sp. RNAcentral's name for it is "partial 16S ribosomal RNA". It matches the Rfam family "Bacterial small subunit ribosomal RNA", at positions 341 to 792 of the family's 1533-position model. Lineage: Bacteria; Bacillati; Bacillota; Clostridia; Eubacteriales; Clostridiaceae. The record is from RNAcentral.
ACGGAAGGCAGCAGUGGGGAAUAUUGCACAAUGGGGGAAACCCUGAUGCAGCGACGCCGCGUGAGUGAAGAAGUAUUUCGGUACGUAAAGCUCUAUCAGCAGGGAAGAAAAUGACGGUACCUGACUAAGAAGCCCCGGCUAACUACGUGCCAGCAGCCGCGGUAAUACGUAGGGGGCAAGCGUUAUCCGGAUUUACUGGGUGUAAAGGGAGUGUAGGUGGCCAUGCAAGUCAGAAGUGAAAGCCCGGGGCUCAACCCCGGGACUGCUUUUGAAACUGUAAGGCUUGAGUGCAGGAGAGGUAAGCGGAAUUCCUAGUGUAGCGGUGAAAUGCGUAGAUAUUAGGAGGAACACCAGUGGCGAAGGCGGCUUACUGGACUGUAACUGACACUGAGGCUCGAAAGCGUGGGGAGCAAACAGGAUUAGAUACCCUGGUA